GUCCUUAACGGGAAAAAGUGAGAUGUGGGUUAAUAGUCCAUAUCUGUGAUGGUACCUAACGAAGAAAGCACCGGCUAACUUCGUGC
RNAcentral lists this ribosomal RNA (86 nucleotides) under uncultured bacterium. RNAcentral describes it as "partial 16S ribosomal RNA". The record is from RNAcentral.